GAUGAACGCUGGCGGCGUGCCUAAUACAUGCAAGUCGAGCGAACAGACGAGGAGCUUGCUCCUCUGACGUUAGCGGCGGACGGGUGAGUAACACGUGGAUAACCUACCUAUAAGACUGGGAUAACUUCGGGAAACCGGAGCUAAUACCGGAUAAUAUAUUGAACCGCAUGGUUCAAUAGUGAAAGACGGUUUUGCUGUCACUUAUAGAUGGAUCCGCGCCGCAUUAGCUAGUUGGUAGGGUAACGGCUUACCAAGGCAACGAUGGGUAGCCGACGUGAGAGGGUGAUCGGCCACAUUGGAACUGAGACACGGUCCAGACUCCUACGGGAGGCAGCAGUAGGGAAUCGUCCGCAGUGGGCGAAAGCCUGACGGAGCAACGCCGCGUGAGUGAUGAAGGUCUUCGGAUCGUAAAACUCUGUUAUUAGGGAAGAACAAAUGUGUAAGUAACUAUGCACGUCUUGACGGUACCUAAUCAGAAAGCCACGGCUAACUACGUG
Molecule: ribosomal RNA, 497 nt
Filed under: uncultured bacterium
Lineage: Bacteria
Description: partial 16S ribosomal RNA
Rfam family: Bacterial small subunit ribosomal RNA
Source: RNAcentral